GUAACACGUAGUCAACCUGCCCUGGAGACAUGGACAACCCCGGGGAACUGGGAUUAAUCCGUGAUAGGUCAUCUCAUCUGGAAGGAGAGAUGGCUUAAAGGGAUGCGCGGGCUUCUUCUGCGUAUUUGCUCCAGGAUGGGACUGCGUCCGAUCAGGCUGUUGGCGGGGUAAUGGCCCACCAAGCCAGUAACCGGUACGGGCCUUGAGAGAGGUGGCCCGGAGAUGGACACUGAGAGAAGGGUCCAGGUCCUACGGGGCGCAGCAGGCGCGAAACCUUCGCAAUGCGCGCAAGCGUGACGAGGUUAAUCCGAGUGAUUUCCGCUGAGGAGACCUUUUGUCUGCUGUAAAUAGGCAGGCGAAUAAGGGGAGGGCAAGCCUGGUGUCAGCCGCCGCGGUAAUACCAGCUCCUCGAGUGGUCGGGGCGAUUAUUGGGCCUAAAGCAUCCGUAGCCGGUUCCGUAGGUCCUCUGUUAAAUCCAACCGCCCAACGGUUGACCUGCAGAGGAUACCGCGAGACU
Molecule: ribosomal RNA, 517 nt
Filed under: uncultured archaeon
Lineage: Archaea
Description: bacterial SSU rRNA
Rfam family: Archaeal small subunit ribosomal RNA
Source: RNAcentral